GGCAACUUGGCCGAGCGGUCUAAGGCGCCAGACUCAGGAUCUGGUCCUUCGGGGCGUGAGUUCGAAUCUCACAGUUGUCA
RNAcentral lists this transfer RNA (80 nucleotides) under Termitomyces sp. T159_Od127. Its description in RNAcentral is "tRNA-Leu". It matches the Rfam family "tRNA". From Rfam's summary of the family: Transfer RNA (tRNA) molecules are approximately 80 nucleotides in length. Their secondary structure includes four short double-helical elements and three loops (D, anti-codon, and T loops). Further hydrogen bonds mediate the characteristic L-shaped molecular structure. tRNAs have two regions of fundamental functional importance: the anti-codon, which is responsible for specific mRNA codon recognition, and the 3' end, to which the tRNAs corresponding amino acid is attached (by aminoacyl-tRNA synthetases). tRNAs cope with the degeneracy of the genetic code in two manners: having more than one tRNA (with a specific anti-codon) for a particular amino acid; and 'wobble' base-pairing, i.e. permitting non-standard base-pairing at the 3rd anti-codon position. The record is from RNAcentral. Lineage: Eukaryota; Fungi; Basidiomycota; Agaricomycetes; Agaricales; Lyophyllaceae.